AAUAACAUUUUAUUUAAACUUUAUUCAAAACCCCACAAACAACGUUUUGUGGAAUUAGCUCGUUUUUUUUUCAGGAUAAGAUAAAGUACUACAUUUCAUUAAUAUCAUGACAAGCAAGAUACUAUGGUUGAAAUCCUUAAUUGAUAUCUUGAAGAUCCUUGAAGUCAGAUUUUAUUCCUUCUUAUAUUAAAAUUCAAAAGAGUCAACAUUAAAUUAAGCAAUAAUGUAUUAAUAAACAAUCACCGUUCUUUAAUGUUUAUUCAUUUCGUUCGUGUAUAUUUUAGAAAUUAAGAAAUGAAAACUGUAACUGUACUAAGUUCAAUUUUCGUAUCGUUUAUAUGCCUUACGGAAAACCGACCUUUUCCGGAAUCGACUUUUGUUUUAUCACCGGAAAUGAUUUUGAAAUUUGAAUUUCGAAACGAAGACAGGAUAUCAACAAAGAGAGCCAAGAAAAUUGUUUGUUACGCGAUAUAUACUCACUUGGAGCUAAAAGAAAAGCCACAAAGGACAAGUUCAAUAUGCAGCUUUACAAUUUGGAAGUGGCGCAGGUUCUUUGAAAUGUCUACAACCUUUCAGGAGAAUUUUUUUUUGAAAAGCAUGGCACAGCAAGAAAAAGAUAUAAGACACUACAAGACAUUCCAAGUGAUUUUGAAUAAGACAAUUGAUUGACUUUUUCAAUGUAUUCUUAAAUAAAUCAAAUAGUUGAUGUAAAAUGGUGUUUUGUUCUCAUCUGUUCAGCCAAUUAUCAAUGAUUAUUGACUUAAGAUGUAACCCUAUUAGAAGUGUAGCGUUUUAGUUUAGAAAGAGAAGUUGUAUUGAAAAAUCUCAAUUUGGGACACAAGUUUUAGUCAAUGUAACUUGAACUUAAAAAUGUGUAUAAUGUUUGCAUAAUGUCCAAUGGCAUAUAUGUCAUGCAUGUUCAGGUUGACAUAUGCAUGAUGUGUAUAAGAUAGGUAAUAAAAGUUGAGAGUGAAAAACUAAACAUUAUACCAUUGUGGUUGGAAUGUGGGCUUUCUUGCACUGUCUGUCGUCUGUCCACCUAUAUUUGUCGGAUUUUGUCCAACAAAUAUUUUCAUCAAGUGCUGUUUUUCCCAAAACUGCUGAUAAAGAUGAGUUCAUAUUUAAUGAGCUGCUUGAUAGUGAUGAACUGUGAUGUGUGAACAUUUUUGUAUCUGGCACCUGUUUCCUGUUUUCUUAUACUUUGUAUUUCAAAAUGUUGAAUGUUCUCAAAUUUUUCAUUACUUUAAUUAGUAAUGCUGAUGAACAGAAUGACUUCAUAUUUGGUAAGUGGCUUGGCCAUGAUGAGUUGUGUCUGCCAUUUUAGAUGUGUCAAAAUUUGUAGAUACUUCUUGUUUUUAGAGACUUUGAAUUGUGAAUUUCAUAUGCAUAGCAAAACAACUGAUUUAUUCUUGUUUGUAUAUAGAAUUAAUCACUGUGUAUAAAUUAAUUUAACUAAUGAUUUGUUAUUUAAAAAAGCAGGAAACUCAAUUAAAAGUACAGACAUUUUUUUAUUGAUAUGAUCUAGAUAUCAACCAAAAACAUCUUCUUAAAACAUUUUGAAAACAUUUUUUAGGCACAGUCUCACUUGCAAGAAAACAUCCAAAAAACAUUUUUAUAACAUUAUUUGAUGUUCAUGAUAUUUUUCAAACGUUCAGAAAAUAUUUCUAGAAAAUAUUUUUUAAAAGAUUAUCAAAAUGUUUUAUAUGCCAUUGUUUUUCACAUUAUCAUGA
Mytilus californianus (California mussel) is the source of this 1730-nucleotide long non-coding RNA. RefSeq lists it as uncharacterized. The record is from RefSeq and is a predicted model, not a curated record. NCBI's taxonomy places the organism in Eukaryota, Metazoa, Mollusca, Bivalvia, Mytilida, Mytilidae. The transcript has 3 exons.